GGCGGGAUGCUGCUGCAGGCGCCCGUCGCCGCGGUCUGCUGGGGCGGAAGUCGGAGGCUGCUCAGCAUGGCGGCGCUCGACGCCAGCAUGUGCCCACUGCCACCGUCCCUGUCGCCCCGCUCUCUUCUCGCCGCUGCGGCGCACCUGCUCGCUGCUCCCUCGCCGUCCCUCAAUCCCAAUCUCUCCCUGUCACCUCUCUCAUCAGAUCUGGCGAGGCAGUGAGGAAGCACGACGAGAUGUCCGUGCCGCUCACUCGUUGCUGUCAAAGCUUGGCAGGGAUUUUGCCCAGUUCAUCAACGUCAGGGACGACCACAGCACCACGCUGCUGCAUCUCGCGGCCAGGCAGGGGCGUGCAGAUGUUGCUGGAGAACAACGGCAUUAUAUCCGCUUUGACAGGCUCAUACAGGUUCCCUGGUAGCACGUCGUUGCAUCUUGCUGCUCGCACUGGGAACCUGGAUUGCAUCUAGAAACUGCUUGCCUGGGGAGCAGAUCGUCUCCAAAGGGACUCGGCAGGCAUUCACAUCUCAUGAAGUUGCUGCCAGUGACCAUGUUCAUGGGGAUUGGACUGAUGGACCGCUUCUUGUCACAAGGAUACAUGAAGGGUCUGAGAAAUCUGCAGCUGCUGGGUAUUGCCUACAUCACCCUGGCCACCCACAUACAAGAGAACCAGCAGUACAAUUGAUGCACCAGUACAAUUGUCGGAGUUAGCGACUAUGAUCCAAUGUGAUGGCCGAACUCAAAAUGGCACAACUUGCAGGUACAAGGGGAUGAGCAUAGGUAUGGAGAAAGACACGAAAGAGUUAGCCUAUGGGAUAUUUGGAACCCCAGAAAACUCUCUGGUUUUCUCUUGUCCAUUGAAUUUGAAUUGGCAAUGCAUUCCCAGUUA
This is a long non-coding RNA of Panicum virgatum (switchgrass), 886 nucleotides long. RefSeq lists it as uncharacterized. NCBI's taxonomy places the organism in Eukaryota, Viridiplantae, Streptophyta, Magnoliopsida, Poales, Poaceae. The record is from RefSeq and is a predicted model, not a curated record. The transcript is spliced from 4 exons.